GACGAACGCUGGCGGCGUGCUUAACACAUGCAAGUCGAACGGAAAGGCCCCUUUGGGGGUACUCGAGUGGCGAACGGGUGCGUAACACGUGAGUAACCUGCCCUUGACUUCGGGAUAACUUCAGGAAACUGGGGCUAAUACCGGAUAGGAAUCCUUGCUGCAUGGUGGGGGUUGGAAAGCUUCGGCGGUUUUGGAUGGACUCGCGGCUUAUCAGCUUGUUGGUGGGGUAGUGGCUUACCAAGGCUUUGACGGGUAGCCGGCCUGAGAGGGCGACCGGCCACAUUGGGACUGAGAUACGGCCCAGACUCCGACGGGAGGCAGCAGUGGGGAAUAUUGAACAAUGGGCGGAAGCCUGAUGCAGCAACGCCGCGUGCGGGAUGACGGCCUUCGGGUUGUAAACCGCUUUCAGCAGGGGCGAAGCUUGUGGUGACGGUACCUGCAGAAGAAGCACCGGCUAACUACGUG
RNAcentral lists this ribosomal RNA (465 nucleotides) under uncultured bacterium. RNAcentral's name for it is "partial 16S ribosomal RNA". It matches the Rfam family "Bacterial small subunit ribosomal RNA", at positions 28 to 507 of the family's 1533-position model. The record is from RNAcentral.